This 440-nucleotide long non-coding RNA is filed under the name Pan troglodytes (chimpanzee). Its description in RNAcentral is "long non-coding RNA NONPTRT013458". The record is from RNAcentral. Lineage: Eukaryota; Metazoa; Chordata; Mammalia; Primates; Hominidae.
GGGAGAGAGAGAGAGAGAAAGAAAGUAUUUGUCUUUCUGGCUUUUAUGAAGUAAGCAACCAUGUUGAGGCAGUCCAUCUGACAAGGUACUGCAGGUGGCUUCUAGAAGCUGUGAGCAGUCUCCAGCUGAUGGCCAGAAAAAAAUGUUGGGGUCUUCAGUCACACAUCCUUAAGGAAAUGAAUUCUGGCACAAACAUGAGAGAGCUUUGAAGCAGAUUCUGAUCCAGUUGAGUUUCCAGGUGAAAAUGGAGUCUAGACAAAACCUUUAUCUCAGCCUUGUGAGAUUCUGAACAGAGGGCCCAGAAUACUGAGUAUGUUCCUGUGUCACCUUAUUUGCCAAUAGUGCCAAUUUUUAGAAUGGAGGGUGUAGAUCCAUCCUUUGCAACUGGUGAGGACCUCCUCAGUAAGGCACUGAGCCAGGAGUCUAUACAGCCAUGCCAA